Fragaria vesca subsp. vesca is the source of this 1470-nucleotide RNA transcript. RefSeq lists it as uncharacterized. Lineage: Eukaryota; Viridiplantae; Streptophyta; Magnoliopsida; Rosales; Rosaceae. The transcript has 2 exons. The record is from RefSeq and is a predicted model, not a curated record.
CGGUCUCGUGCUGCUCUGCAGCGGGUGAGCUCGGAGGAGGACUCCGUUGUCCGGCUGCCUCUCGGCCUCCAACCGGUGGCUACGGCUUCGUCUUGCCGUCCCCGACGUCUCUGUUGUAUCAGAUUUCAUGGAGGAGAGCUGCUGAAAGAGAAUCGGAGGAGAGAAAGUGAUUGCCUCUCCGAUCGGGUUUCCGAUUCCGGCCACGGCGGCGUGCAUGGCUGGUGGUGGUAGCUUCGUCUUGACCUGGAGAACCUCCCUGUGGCUUCAAUAUGUCGAGACGAGCAGUGGUGAGUGAGAAUCGAUGCAGAGGAGUGGUUUGAGUUUUCCGGCGUUGUUCUUCAUUUUCCGGCGAGCUUCGAAUUCGAUUCAGGUAUAAAAGUUGGACUAUUUAUUGAGUUCUACGUAUUUGUAUAAUUGAAUUCGAGUUUGAGUGUUUUUGGGAGAAGUUGGAAUUUAGGCAGGACCCGACUGCCGUGUGUGGUGGCGGAUUGGCGGUGCUGGCCUAAGCUCGUCCUUGAUUCAUUUUUGUUCAGAAAUAUGGAUUGAUGAUUAGUAUGUUGUCUGUAAUUGUUGAAAUUGUAGAAUUGGAGGUAGAGAGCUGAGUUGCAGGUUGUUCGGGUUACUGUGUUUGUGUAGGUUGCUGCGUUCAGCGUCCACAACGGUGGUGGUGGUGAUUGACUGUUCUGGGAGUACCUUUUGGCUUUACUUAGUAUAGUGAACGUUUGUGGGUACUGAGAUGAUUGAUUUACAGUUGGUUAAAGUUGGAAAGAUUGGAACUUUGGAGUUGUGUUCUAUUAACUGUGAGUGAGGGUUCAAAUAGUUCAUUCAAUAAUUUUGGGUGGUUAAUAACAGUGAAGAUGUGUUGGAUUAUUGUAAGGAGUUUGAAAGAUGUUUGUGAGAAAGUCUGGAAGGUCAACAAUGAGGAAUUUAGGUCGAGACUAGAGAGCUUGUCUUAUUUUGAGUAGUGAAGAAGAUGUUGUUUAAUUAAGAGAGGAGAUGGGGCAUUGGAGCAACAUGAACCGAGAAGUGUUGUUGACAAUAUGAAAUAAGUUCAGAACCGAGAUUGAGCAAGAUGGGUGUUCACCUGAUGUAGAUUAAGAUAGUUCUAAGCUAUUGGGUGUCCUUAGUAAAUUUCAAGGACUUGAUAGUAUCAAUUUGAAGUGACCUAUCAACAUUCUUGGAAUGAGGAUUUGGUACGAGGAUUGAGUAACUAUCGACAUUCCAAGAGCAGAAGGAUAAGGAUUUCAGAAUGCGUGCCACGGUGUUACUAAUUUUAAUUAGCGUCAGAGCUAGCGCUUGGAUUUCAGGGUCGUACGAGGACACGUAUUAGUUGACGUGAACGAGAGUCGAGAAGGAUUACAGAAGAUUAGAAGUGAACUAGGUUGUAAGGUCUGUCGGUUUUGUCUCUGUAAUCGGUUUUGUUUUUGUAAUCGUUUUAUUUUUUAUAAUUUCGAUAAAAGUAUUUGAAAU